AGGAAAUGAGCAGCCCCCUGUCACCUCUCCUGCCAUCCCUUCAGUCACCUGAGAGAACAGAGACUUCCAAAUUUCCUGUGCAGGCAAAGGCAAAGAAGCCCUCUGAUGUUCCAUCAACUGAAGAGAUUUUGAGCGAAAUGAGCAGCCCACUGCCAGCUCUCCUGUCACAUCUCCAGACACUUUCAGGAGCAGAGACU
Molecule: long non-coding RNA, 197 nt
Organism: Onychostruthus taczanowskii (white-rumped snowfinch)
Lineage: Eukaryota; Metazoa; Chordata; Aves; Passeriformes; Passeridae
Exons: 3
Source: RefSeq, a predicted model, not a curated record